This 500-nucleotide ribosomal RNA is filed under the name uncultured bacterium. RNAcentral's name for it is "partial 16S ribosomal RNA". It matches the Rfam family "Bacterial small subunit ribosomal RNA", at positions 28 to 507 of the family's 1533-position model. The record is from RNAcentral.
GACGAACGCUGGCGGCGUGCUUAACACAUGCAAGUCGAACGGGUCUGCCCUGUUUUUUGCGGGGUGGGUCAGUGGCGAACGGGUGAGUAACACGUGAGUAACCUGCCCCUCACUUCUGGAUAACCGCUUGAAAGGGUGGCUAAUACGGGGUGUUCUGGCUGUGCCGCAUGGUGUGGCUGGGAAAGAUUCACUUUUGUGGUGUUUUGGUGGGGGAUGGGCUCGCGGCCUAUCAGCUUGUUGGUGGGGUGAUGGCCUGCCAAGGCUUUGACGGGUAGCCGGCCGGGGAGGGUGGGCGGUCACACUGGGACUGAGAUACGGCCCAGACUCCUGCGGGAGGCAGCAGUGGGGGGUAUUGCACAAUGGGCGGAAGCCUGAUGCAGCGACGUCGCGUGAGGGAUGGAGGCCUUCGGGUUGUGAACCUCUUUCGCCGGUGAAGAAGGUCCUGCUCUUUGUGGUGGGGUUGACGGUAGCCGGGUUAUGAAGCGCCGGCUAACUACGUG